GCGACGAAACGGAGGCGGCGGAUCGUGCCAAGGUAUCCGCGACAUUUCAUAAACACGAAAUCAAUUUUAAUCCUCGCCGAGUGAGGCUGUCCUCCUCGCCUGGUCUGAACGGUGCUUAUUUAUAAGCACAACCGGGCCACUUCCUGCACGGGAUCAUGCCGCGAAUCUCGCAUCCUUGUGAUCGCUUUGUAACCGGGGAACAUCGCACGUUAAUAGACUCUGUGUUGUAUAUUUGUCUUUCUGUACAUUCAUCGCAAGAUUAUCACGGGAAAUGGCAAACUUUGUGACGAUACUGGAGUGCAAUUCAAGGUCAGUUGGUGAGGAUAAAUCUUUAUAGGUUAUGACAUUCAGGUUAGAUAACUUUUAUAUUAUCUCUGUUUUAUAAUUAUUAUAUAGUGAAAUGCCAAUGUAAAUAUUAUAAAUAUGAGUAUUUGAAACCUCUUAACCAGGUCAUCUAUUAACCAGAAAUUUCUAUAAUCAUGAAAUUGGAGGUUAGUAUUGAUACAGCAAUUUCAAAUAGGUUAAAUAUAAUUCUUGAAAAUGUAAGUAUUGUAUAAUAAAGAAAUUUUUCAAAUAACUUUAAAAAAUAAAAAAUCCAUAAGUAAAAAAAUUAUUAUUAAGUAAUUGUAGCAGUAAAUCCGUUUCUUGUCUUAAUCGUUAAAAGUGUAAAAUACAAGAUUUGAGAAAGACAAUUUUUAGUACUAUUAGUAUUAAAAAAUUUCUUAGCUUCCAUAUUUGAAAGAGGUAAGGGUAAAGGGGCAUAAACUGUAUUAAUUAAUAUAGAAUUAUGGCAUUCUUUGUUUUUUCUUGUGUGAUACUUUUGUCGUCGGUGUUACCGUUUUCUUGUUUUUUAAUAUAGCUUAUGUUACACAGAGGGAGGUGUAAUCUUAUAGGUUAUGUUUGAUAAUUAAAGGAGAAUUGACGAGUAAGUAUUGAGUAGUGAAAUCUAAUGUUGUAAUUAUUAAGCACUGAAAAGUUAGAAUUAUUAAGUACUUGAAGAGUCGGGUUACUUUCCUACAGAUGUGUGUGAGUAUCCUGAAUAACGAAUCUUUUAUUCUUUCUAUUGAUAUUUCCAUAUUUUCUCUAAUAAAGUUUAAACUUCUAUUAGCUAAUAAUAAAAAAUGAUGUAUUUAAAAACUAGUUUUGCAUAAACAUUAAAGUGGUAAAUUAAUACAAAGCGAUCAGUGGAUGUUGUAAGAUCGUUGAACUUGAACUUGCUGGCGGGUAAAAGCAGAUGGCAGAUAAAAGGUGUGAUUUUGAUUAGAAAAAUUAAGUUCACCAAGGUAUCAAUCUUUAUGAAAAGCAAAAAUGACUUCGAAAUUAGGUUUAAUGCUAGUGUUUCUCUCUAUAUUAUUAACGUUAAUUCUCUGUUCAUAAAACGUGUAAUACACCUUUCUGAAGUCCAUGACUUUAUUGCUCCCUUACGUUCACUUUACCAUAAUCUCACUAAUCUAUCAUCAAUCUUUUCACUGCAAAAAUGCAUAGUUAUUUUUUAUAUACGUUCAAAAGUUUCUUAAUAUUUACAAAAAAUGUUUAUAAAUCAUGGAUAUCUUAAAAAUAAAAAAUUAGUGAAAUAGUUAUGAGAACUUUAUAAAAUUUGUAUACAAAAUUGUCAAUAUAAAAGAAAGAAUUUAUUUUACUAAUAAAUAUAAAUCUUUUUUGAAAAUUCGCUAUCACGUUUCGAACGACAAUAGAACACCUCAAUUUCGCCCAACAAUUUAUUUCCACCAAUCCACUGAAUGGCUCUCGCAUACGUCUUCGUUCCGGUACUUCCGUCGCCGCAUUCGUCGAAGACCAGUGCCACUGUCACUCACCUGCCGAGCUCGGUGUAGCUAGAAAAUUUAAUUAAAGCCGCACGUGGCCGUAAAUUAUCCUGCUAUCGACAGGGAUACCGGAUCGUGGUGGCGGCUGUAACUUCCACAACAAGAAAAAGAAAAGAACGGAGAAUAAGUGUGGAAAAGAAACAAACGAAAUGUGCCUAUACGUUUGCUGUGUUUGUGUAUGGGCACAUUGUGCCUGUCGUGUACAUUGUAUGGUUGUAUAUACUUGCAUAUGUUAUAAAUGCUUGUGUAUAUUUGUGCAUGCUGUGUGUGGCUUCCUGUACGUGUGUAUUUGCCUAUAUAUGUACAGAUGUCAUAGAUGCUUAUGUAUAGUAACCAUACUACAUACAUGAUACUAUCCUUAUUGUAAAUGCUUGUAAUGCUUGUGUUACAUGUAUUUGUAUAUUCUUCUUUGUAAUAUCAAAAAUUAUCCACGAUGUCAUGUGUUUGUGCAUAUUUCUAUACGUCACAAAUAUUUGUAUUUUGUUAUCAAUGUUUAUGUACACAUAUUCAUAUAUUUCAUAUUUGUAUGUUUAUAUUUGUCUCACAUAUUUUUCUCCUACUUAUAUUUGUACAUACUAGUUUAGUUUAGAUUUGUUCUUACGUACAUAUUAUAUCGGUAUAUAGUUCGAUAUGUUGAAUAUUUGUCUAUACCUUCGUACGUAUUUUAUACGUAUUAUGUGGAAUAUGGAUGCGUAUGGGUGUACGCGUGAAACGAAUGGACUGAAGAAAAGUAGUGGGCUCAAGAGGUAUAGUAAUAUUAGUAAUACAUUCGGCGUGUUGCGGCCGCUGUUAGCACCGUUAAACUAGCUUUUACUGUUCCGGUCGGUCCUUUGAACCUCACCGCCUAUGCGGCAGCCACGGGCAAUAAAAUGCGUUCACCAUAAAAUACCGAGUCUCUCUAGCCUCGCCACGGCCUCGACCAUGCUCUCGUCAAUGCUCACGCAACCUACCUAGCCCAUUGCACAUCCGGUUGCGCCCGUUUUCCCCGACCCGCAGAUUUUUCACGGGAACCUUUAAUUAUUCCACGAACGGGAUACUCCUUAAUGUCGUACGUUUUUGGGGAUUCUAAUCUAAUUCAUACUAAUCGUAUAAGAAAAUUAGACUGUAGUUGAAAAUAUUCAGGAAAAAAAUCUAAAUCAUAUUUAUCGUUAAUACAGAUUUGCUGAGUAAGAGCGCGGAUCUUAUAAAUACUUAGUCAAUGGUAAAAGUAAAAUUCCUGAAAGGAAAGAAAACAACAUUUUGGCAGAUAAAGAAAUUUGUAGAUACCGCCAAUUAUUUAUUUUUAAUCCUAUUAAUCGAUCAAACUUAAAUUAAAACAUACGUUUAAAGUGUUUUAAGGUAGUAUGAGAUAGACUAGAUUAGUAGAUGUUUGAAAUUGUAGAUUAGUGGUAAUCUGUUUCCUGUUUGUUUGGACAUGCGUGUUAGAAGCUUCGCGAUAUGUUUUCAGUGCAAUUAAGUAGUCUUGUCAAGUGCUAUCCUUCUUAAGUCUUAGUUCUUUUUUUAAGAACUUUUAAAGUGGGUUUUAGUUAUUUUGAUUGAUAAAAGAGAAAUGGUUUUUGGUUUGAUGAAUGGAGAUCUGUCAAUGGACACUUUCGUUGAAACAUUAAAAUGUGAGUAUCUACAAUCAGUUAUGUGUAUCAAGGAGCUUCUGUUUUCCUGAUUCUACCUUUAUGGAAUCUUUCACACUGAUCAUGUUACUGUAGAGAAGCAUUCGUAUGUGAAAUAAGAAAAUACUAAUACUUUAAUUUGUAUUAAAGCAAUUUAUCUGCGUAAAUGAUCUUGUUCUUACAUCAUCUCUUUCAUUUUCACUUAUGUCUACUACAUACAAGUGAUGACGGAUUCCACUGGUUAACAGGUUAACACAUUUACUGUCACGACAAUCACCGAUAGCUGGCGCAGAACUUGACAUUUACACCUCGUCAGUCACCAAUGACCGUUAUGUGGUGGAUGUGUCAACAUUGUACCAUACAUAAUCACCUUACAUUUUUAAGGUUAUGCCCAAAGUCCUUAUACUUUCUUCGAUGACAAUUUACUCAGAUAAAUCACCUUAAGCGGCCUAAAUCAACAGAUACCGAGUCACCAGAAAAAUCCCAAUACGAAGAGAGAUAACCAAAAAGUAUCAGACAGACGGAGAGCGAGUUUAGCGGGUAAACAUCUGGGGUAAUUGGUAGGAAGUAUAAGGAAUUUUCUGGUAAAUUGAGCCGGUCACGGAACGAGAUGGAAUUUUCUCCCUUCUUGUUGUGGCGCAAUGAAAGUUUUCCAAUAAGAAACGAAAGAGCUAAUCAGAGUUUCCAAGGACUCAAUGGCCCGUGAACCAACGUGUCUACGCCUCCCUGCUUGGCCGCUUCUCUGUGUCGGUUACCUUACCUCUGCCUUCUCCUUUUUCCAAAAAGUCGGCAAGCAUGUCGAGAACAGUCUGAUCUUGCCAGUUUUCUGUAUAUUCGACUCUGUUCGUGGAGAAAAGGGCCUGCGUAAAGAAGAAGAAACGACUAUAGAACCGUGUCGCCUAGAGAUUUUAAGUUUCUCCCUAGUCGAAGGCGGAGAGUCGAGACUUGUUUGUUGUGGUAAAUUGGGCAAAGUUUGGUCUGACUUAAAUUUGGAAAUAUAGGAAUUAUGAAGUUUUUGAUUAUGUACAUUUCAGAAAAUUGAAUUUUAUUGUAAAAAUUUAGUUUAUGUAUCUGUUGUGAAUAUUAGAUUAAAGUAGUUUAUAGAUAUAAAAUACAGAAAGUUAAAUCUCUAAGAAAAUGUAGAAAAUGUAAGAAAAUGUCUCUAAGAAAAUGAUUUUACAGUUCGGAAUGCUGUGAACUUUAGAAAAUUAUCUUCAAAAGUAUUUGUUAAGGUUAAUUUAAGUUAAACAAAAAGUAUGCCAUAUUUAAUUCUUUGACACUGUGGCCCAUCAAGUAUAGUAUUAGGUUGUCCGAAAAGUGUCUUUCUUUUACCGACACGUCUUUUACAACGACGUAUCUUUAUACAAACAUGAAACCUAAUCUAUCGAUCGUUGUGAUCUUUAUUUUGAUAGAACAAAAUGGAUCACACGUAAUUCGAUAAAAUAAUAUAAAACAGAAAAUGUUGUGCGUCCAUUAUUUCCUUAUAAAACGAAAGAAAUUUUUCGGACCACCUAAUAUUUUAAAUUUCUACAUUCGAUAAUAGAAAUGCAAAAUAAUAACAAAGACACGAUUAUUUUCUCAAUUGUCCAUCCUGAAUUCCCCAUUUUAUUAUGUUGAAAAAGGAUUAAAUGUCAAUAACAAACAUACGUAACAUCACGAUACACCGCUGUCAAAGAGCACCGGUAAUACGAUAAGAAGGCAUAGAGAGAAAUAUCUCGGUGUAUAAACGAAAAACGAUAUCCGUAUCACCGUAACAAAACAACUACGUACAGUAUCAUUUGAUCAUGACAUUAAAAUUUGUCAUCUCAAUUUUCGUUCCAUCUAAAAAAAAAAAUUAUUAAAAAAACAAAA
This is a long non-coding RNA of Bombus huntii, 5281 nucleotides long. RefSeq lists it as uncharacterized. The record is from RefSeq and is a predicted model, not a curated record. NCBI's taxonomy places the organism in Eukaryota, Metazoa, Arthropoda, Insecta, Hymenoptera, Apidae. The transcript is spliced from 2 exons.